GGGUCAGUAGGUUGGUCGUGCCACCGGUACGUACUGGUCUCACUGAUUCCUCCUUCCUGAAGAACCGUAAUGCCAUUAAUUUGGUGUUGCGGGGAAACAGGACCGUUACUUUGAAAAAAUUAGAGUGUUUAAAGCAAGCUAACGCUUGAAUACAUUAGCAUGGAAGAAUGAAAUAGGACGAUCGAUCCUAUUUUGUUGGUUUCUAGGAUUGACGUA
This 216-nucleotide ribosomal RNA is filed under the name Glomeromycotina sp. RNAcentral describes it as "partial small subunit ribosomal RNA". The stretch from base 40 to 216 matches the Rfam family "Eukaryotic small subunit ribosomal RNA", at positions 686 to 864 of the family's 1831-position model. The record is from RNAcentral. Lineage: Eukaryota; Fungi; Glomeromycota.